This 253-nucleotide ribosomal RNA is filed under the name uncultured bacterium. RNAcentral describes it as "partial 16S ribosomal RNA". It matches the Rfam family "Bacterial small subunit ribosomal RNA", at positions 524 to 776 of the family's 1533-position model. The record is from RNAcentral.
UACGUAGGGCGCGAGCGUUGUCCGGAAUUAUUGGGCGUAAAGAGCUCGUAGGCGGUUUGUCGCGUCGGUUGUGAAAACCCAAGGCUCAACCUUGGGCCUGCAAUCGAUACGGGCAGACUAGAGUACUGCAGGGGAGACUGGAAUUCCUGGUGUAGCGGUGGAAUGCGCAGAUAUCAGGAGGAACACCGGUGGCGAAGGCGGUUCUCUGGGCAUUACCUGACGCUGAGGAGCGAAAGUGUGGGGAGCGAACAGG